This 226-nucleotide long non-coding RNA is filed under the name Amborella trichopoda. RNAcentral describes it as "long non-coding RNA (ATRI_LNC001572)". The record is from RNAcentral. Lineage: Eukaryota; Viridiplantae; Streptophyta; Magnoliopsida; Amborellales; Amborellaceae.
UCCUCUUGUUUUCUGCAAUUUUUUCUCUCUUUCUCUCUUUCCUCUCUCUCAAUAAAUCUGUGCAAUUUCUUCUCUCUUUCCUCUCUCAUCCUCCUGCCCUUUGCCUCUGUUGCUUCCCUCUCUUCACUCUGAAACUUGCCUAUUUUCCUCAUUCCUAUCCGUCAAAUCUCGGGUUUCUUUCUCCUCUCGGUGUUUCUCUCUCUAAGCUAUCUUCCAUCGAUCAUUG